RNAcentral lists this ribosomal RNA (1438 nucleotides) under uncultured organism. RNAcentral describes it as "partial small subunit ribosomal RNA". It matches the Rfam family "Bacterial small subunit ribosomal RNA". The record is from RNAcentral.
GCGUGCUUAACACAUGCAAGUCGAACGGAAAGGCCCUGCUUUUGUGGGGUGCUCGAGUGGCGAACGGGUGAGUAACACGUGAGUAACCUGCCCUUGACUUUGGGAUAACUUCAGGAAACUGGGGCUAAUACCGGAUAGGAGCUCCUGCUGCAUGGUGGGGGUUGGAAAGUUUCGGCGGUUGGGGAUGGACUCGCGGCUUAUCAGCUUGUUGGUGGGGUAGUGGCUUACCAAGGCUUUGACGGGUAGCCGGCCUGAGAGGGUGACCGGCCACAUUGGGACUGAGAUACGGCCCAGACUCCUACGGGAGGCAGCAGUGGGGAAUAUUGCACAAUGGGCGGAAGCCUGAUGCAGCAACGCCGCGUGCGGGAUGACGGCCUUCGGGUUGUAAACCGCUUUCGCCUGUGACGAAGCGUGAGUGACGGUAAUGGGUAAAGAAGCACCGGCUAACUACGUGCCAGCAGCCGCGGUGAUACGUAGGGUGCGAGCGUUGUCCGGAUUUAUUGGGCGUAAAGGGCUCGUAGGUGGUUGAUCGCGUCGGAAGUGUAAUCUUGGGGCUUAACCCUGAGCGUGCUUUCGAUACGGGUUGACUUGAGGAAGGUAGGGGAGAAUGGAAUUCCUGGUGGAGCGGUGGAAUGCGCAGAUAUCAGGAGGAACACCAGUGGCGAAGGCGGUUCUCUGGGCCUUUCCUGACGCUGAGGAGCGAAAGCGUGGGGAGCGAACAGGCUUAGAUACCCUGGUAGUCCACGCUGUAAACGGUGGGUACUAGGUGUGGGGUCCAUUCCACGGGUUCCGUGCCGUAGCUAACGCUUUAAGUACCCCGCCUGGGGAGUACGGCCGCAAGGCUAAAACUCAAAGGAAUUGACGGGGCCCCGCACAAGCGGCGGAGCAUGCGGAUUAAUUCGAUGCAACGCGUAGAACCUUACCUGGGUUUGACAUGGAUCGGGAGUGCUCAGAGAUGGGUGUGCCUCUUUUGGGGUCGGUUCACAGGUGGUGCAUGGCUGUCGUCAGCUCGUGUCGUGAGAUGUUGGGUUAAGUCCCGCAACGAGCGCAACCCUUGUUCACUGUUGCCAGCACGUUAUGGUGGGGACUCAGUGGAGACCGCCGGGGUCAACUCGGAGGAAGGUGGGGAUGACGUCAAGUCAUCAUGCCCCUUAUGUCCAGGGCUUCACGCAUGCUACAAUGGCUGGUACAGAGAGUGGCGAGCCUGUGAGGGUGAGCGAAUCUCGGAAAGCCGGUCUCAGUUCGGAUUGGGGUCUGCAACUCGACCUCAUGAAGUCGGAGUCGCUAGUAAUCGCAGAUCAGCAACGCUGCGGUGAAUACGUUCCCGGGGCUUGUACACACCGCCCGUCAAGUCAUGAAAGUUGGUAACACCCGAAGCCGGUGGCCUAACCGUUGUGGGGGAGCCGUCGAAGGUGGGACUGGUGAUUAGGACUAAAUC